Paramacrobiotus metropolitanus is the source of this 4562-nucleotide long non-coding RNA. RefSeq lists it as uncharacterized. The record is from RefSeq and is a predicted model, not a curated record. The transcript is spliced from 5 exons. Lineage: Eukaryota; Metazoa; Tardigrada; Eutardigrada; Parachela; Macrobiotidae.
AUUUGGUCAACAGGAAGACCGAUCCAACACGGAUAUGGUGGAAAAGAAAGAGGUAUUCCAUGAUUACUUGUUUUCUAACAAGUACGAAGUCGCCGGGUUCGAUUUGGUCACCGAUGAAGUGAUGGCAGUUCAAUACCGCUCCAAGAAGGACUACAUUGCGACGAGCAAAAAGACCAAUGUUGUUAUCGCAGCUUUUACGACUGCGUACGCACGGCUACACUUAUUAAAAUUCAUGGAAAUGGUUGGAGACCGUUUGUUAUACCACGAUACAGACAGCAUUUUCUACAUCCAUAGAGACGAUUUGCCCGAUCCACCAACGGGAACGUGCUUGGGUGAUUUGUCCUCGUCUUUACAGCCUGACGAGUACAUUGACGAAUUUGUAGCGCUUGGACCAAAAAGCUAUGCUUACCGGACAAAUACUGGAUGUGAAACGAUAAAAGUCAAGGGAUUUACGUUGACUCGGCAAGCGAAAAAACAGCUAAACCUGGAAAGCCUGAAAGAGAUGCUACUGGAAAGCCUGGCAUCACCGGACCAGCCAAGCGGAAUUACCGUGAAUUAUCCGUUCAACAUAACACGCAAUAAGCGCAAGCUGGAAGUUUCGUCGGCGGAAAUUAACAAACGAUUUAAACUUACUUACUCAAAACGUAGAAUUGUUGACUCUGAUUUUAACACUCGCCCAUGGGGUGAUGUUUCGAUUGAGUAAAUCAUCAACUUCCAGUGCGGUGCAAUUGUUAAUAAAAGUCCUGACACUGUGGCUUGCUCCGAAAAAUGCUUCCAGCAGUAUUAUAAGAAUUAACAUAACAAUAAUGCAAGUCCCCACCACGGCUUCGCAAAAGUUUUUUUUUACACACAAUGCGCGCCAUUGUAACAAAAGUCACUUGUUUUUUUUUUCUAGAUUUUAUGCGUUCCGUGGUGCCUUUAAUACUUACUUCCUCCCGAAAGACUGUAAUUAGUUAACUAUUGUAUAAAAUUUUAACUACAUAUAUAUAUAUAUAUAUAGUAUUAUAGUAUGCACUAUGGACAUACACUAUACAAUUGUGAUGACUCAUAUUCUGGAGUUGGGAGCUGUAGUCAUAAAGUCCAACCGGGAAUUGCAGCUGGAAAGUGCAGCUCCCAACUCCAGUUUAUGACGUAACCGACGCCAUUUUAUGUUUAUACAAUAUACUGUUUCUUCUCCAGUGCUAUAAAAGAUUAAUGCCAUCUAAAUUCGAAUUACGAGUAUUUACCUGCAGGAUUACCGGUGCUUAAUAGUUAAUAUUAUAUCGAUAGUAUGGAAACUAUGGAUGGACCGAUCCAGUUGCGACUUUAAACUUUGCGACUCUUUUGAGUCUUUUCAGCAGGGUGUGCAACAAAUUAACACAUCUUUCCAUCAAAUUGACACAUCUUUUCUAAGGACGAGGGAGUAAUAUUCAAGUGCACCAUCUACAGAAAGUAAAGUACACUGGAACGAAUUAUACUGAGAGAACACUACCAAAUGGCUCCUAAAACUAGGAAGAGUGCAUUUACGUGCUUUACGCAUAAGUAUAGAUAUACGCGACAUUACGGGUACAUCCAAGGAUGCGUGCGCAUUGCAGUGUGCUUAUUUAUAGCUAAGCGAGCAUUGUACUUCCGAUCCAGAAAAAUCGAUCGCACUUUAAAAGCAGCUUUUCAAAAGGAUGUGGUGCCAAAAGCUGCGCAUCCAUAACCAGUUAUCAGUUUAAUCGCGGUCGAUUCAUUGGGUUAAGUGUGGCGAGUUGACGCUUCCAGCAUUUGUAGUAACUUAUAUCUAUAGAAGUAUGCUCACUAUAUAUACUGUAUUUUGUGGAUAGAACUCAUAUAAAUUUCUUUGCGUUUUUGGAACCCUUUUCUUUGUGUACCUUACAGAUUACAACAGAAACACGUACAACAAAGGCAAGAUCUAGAAGCAUCGAAUCUCCUUUGCUGUCGAUCACAAAACACCGCAGUAACUUCGCAAACUUAAAUAAUACGAAACACAACACUUUGAGCGACAGUGCUCGUAUUUAACCACCACAAAGCCCGACAAAGGCUACCUACGCGGCGGCGUUGCCGGUACCGGCGGUACGUAACGUUAGCACAAUGCCCGCACAUAGCAGUAAAUAAAAACAUGUUCUAAAAAUAAAUAAAAAACAUAUUCAUUUUCUAUACAAUACAUAAAAACAAAUCCACCUCGCAGCUAAGCCGGCAACAGACAGUCAGAACUUGUUGUACACAUCACGCUCCGCCUCACAUGCGUAAUAUUACAGAAAACAUCCGCAUUGAACGAACACGCAUUUGCACUAUUAUAAUCAUGCAUGUAGUCGUAAAUCGUAAUCACAAAAAAGUAAACACAUUAAAACUGUGUUACAUCUAUGAAAUAGCUGCAAUGCCCGCUGGAAGCUCCGUACUGUUAUCACCUUCGUCGGGGCCUUCUUUUUCUAGAUCUUCGUCAGAAAGAAUCGUAGGGCACAACGAGAAGGAUCCCUUAGGUAUGAACGUAGCUGACAUGACGCACACAGCAAUUAUCGUGAAAUGCACGCCGCCCACAUAAAUAAUUGCUUCGUGAACGUCUCCGCCGUUCGCACCGCCUGUUCGCGCGUAAACUUGGUCCAAGAACGCCAUGACCGCGCCCAGUGGGGAUACCGCCGACUUGGAUCCUUUGCCCAGUCGGGUCAGUGCUCCCUGGAUGUACGCCGAUAUGGAAACAUCGCCAGCGGCCCAUCCAAAUGAAAUCGGAAUAAAAGUUGCUGUAAAAAAACAGAGUGAUAUAAAUUUUCUGCUUGCGUAGUGGCACAGUAUAUGCGCACGCUGAAAGCUUGCAGUUUACUAGAAAAUAACUGUUUUCUAGUAAACUGUGACUAGUUUCUAGUAAACUAAAGAUCUUACUGUUGCUACGUAAGAUGUUACUGCAGGAAUCGUCUGGUAAGCGGUUACUUGAAAAUAACUGAUCAAACAUUUAGCAAUUUAGAAACUAGAUGUACUAAUUAACUAACUAGAUUGCACUUGUUCAAAGCGCAUAAUAAAUUUUAAUACUGUCUUUAAAUUUCUAUAUAUCUGUAUCUAUUUUUAUGCAGCAAUAUUUCAUAGCUUCACCAACAGAAAUAUUAUUUACCAGCAACCAUCCAAGCGUAUCUCACAUCACCAGCGGGAGGAUACCAGAAUGGUAGGUACCAAACAAUCAAUACAGUGAGUGAAUCUAUCCGUAGCCAUGGAAUGGGUGUCUUUACGUAAUUUGCCAAUAUAAACACUGUCGCAGCACCGCAUAAUUCGCCAAAAUUAGACCCACCGACCAUAACUUGCGACCAUGCCGACUCUCCUAAAUAUCGCUUGGCAAUGACAGGUGCUAAAGCAUUCUCCAAAAACCGGUGACCGUACAAAGCAACCGCAUAACCAUUAAACAGCCAUAUAAAUUUCCGGCUGGUGAAUAUUAUUUUUGCUCCGGUCCAUAUGGACGCAGCAAACAGAUAAAAUCCACCUACAAUGGCUUUAAUGUAACUAGGCUGUUGUUCGAGUUUGCCCAGUUUUUUCUUCUGGAAUCCUAAAUCGGAUAUAAACCACCAGGUGAUUGCUGCAGCGGUGUACAAAAGUGGUGUGAUAAUGAAGGACAUGUUGUUCCCCAGAGCUGGAAUUAAAGCCAGCGCGGUGGCAAAUGCGCCUAAUGUACCGCUAACUUCGUAGCAAAUGUGGACCAGUGAAUCCAUCCGGAUGAGCUUCUUCACAUCCCCACCGACAAUGUCUUUGGGAAUAACGCGCCUAAUUAACUCCACCAUGCCGUACGCGAUGCCGGUUACGCAGUAAAUCGGAAUAAUGCCAUCCGUAUAAUAUGUUCCGUAAUACGAAUAAUCCCCUUUCUUGUGCUUUGCCUCCCAAUCUGCCGGCUUAAUGUAACCACCUGUUGCUGCGUCAACAAUUAACAAAAUUGCUGUAAACAGUCCGAAAACGAAUACAGCCGCGGUGAGGACGGUUUUCGUGGGAAACCGUUGUAUUAGCGGAGCAAUUAGGAUGGAUCCGACACACUGCAGCGCCUGGUUGAGACCAACCAACAGGCCGACUCUUUCGAAUGUUUUUGCAGUGGUAUUGGUGCGAAUGGCAUCGUAAUCGUACCGAUUGGUAGCUAAUGCAAUGAUGGAUCCAUUGAACGCUUCCAAACCAAACUUAUACAAAGUAAUUCCCAAGAUGUAUAUAGCAAUAUUACGCUUUUCCAGCGGCGAGAAUGACCGCCAGGUUUCGCGAAUGGACGCUCUGACGUCAGGCAUCUUGUUUUCGUGUCGUUAACGUUGUAACGGCGAACGGAUUUCUCAACUACCUACAGAGUACAAGCAAAUUUUUCGGGCUUAUACUAUUUUUUCAGAGUCGGAUAACUGCAGAUAAUUAAGCAAAAACUAAUAAUUUACCAGCUAUACAUAUUGUGCAAUACAAUAAUACGGUUCGAGAGACCACGCGCACUUGAAUCAGCGGGGCCACCUUAUACACGUGGAAGUUAUUAAAAAACAAGAUUAUUUCAAUACUUUUAUUGGCAGAAUUUUAUGGAAUAAUUAUCUCAUGCAGUGAUCCAAAUCCUCUAUUAGCCAGUAAAUUACUUAAGA